Molecule: non-coding RNA, 221 nt
Filed under: Metabacillus indicus
Lineage: Bacteria; Bacillati; Bacillota; Bacilli; Caryophanales; Bacillaceae
Description: Bacillus cibi T-box sequence
Rfam family: T-box leader
About the family: Uncharged tRNA acts as the effector for transcription antitermination of genes in the T-box leader family.
Source: RNAcentral
CACAACGUGAUGACAGGAACCAGUAGCAAGUGUUUCUUUCCAAAGAGAGCCGGUGGUCGGUGCGAACCGGUGUGAGAGCCUUGUGAAUCCAUCCUUGAAUGAUGUAUUGAAAUCUUCGGAGACUAGAUAUGUCCGGAACAGGCCGUUAUCCUGCUAAGAGGAAGGCGCAGAAUUCUGCCUUCAAUUAGGGUGGCAACGCGGAUACAACUUCCGUCCCUUUA